RNAcentral lists this small nuclear RNA (173 nucleotides) under Otolemur garnettii (small-eared galago). RNAcentral describes it as "U4 spliceosomal RNA (ENSOGAG00000022054.2)". The stretch from base 1 to 67 matches the Rfam family "U4 spliceosomal RNA". Lineage: Eukaryota; Metazoa; Chordata; Mammalia; Primates; Galagidae. The record is from RNAcentral.
AGCUUUGCGCAGUGGCAGUAUCGUAGCCAAUUAGGUUUAUCUGAGGUGCGAUUAUUGCUAAUUGAGACAGUCUCACUAGGUUGCCCUCUGUAGAGUGCUGUAGUGUCACAGCUCACACCAACCUCAAACUCUUGGGCUUAGGCGAUCUCUUGCCUCAGCUUCCCGAGUAGCUG